RNAcentral lists this ribosomal RNA (252 nucleotides) under uncultured bacterium. RNAcentral describes it as "partial 16S ribosomal RNA". It matches the Rfam family "Bacterial small subunit ribosomal RNA", at positions 524 to 776 of the family's 1533-position model. The record is from RNAcentral.
UACAGAGGGUGCAAACGUUGCUCGGAGUUACUGGGCGUAAAGCGCGUGUAGGCGGUGCCGCACGUCCGGUGUGAAAGCCCAGGGCUCAACCCUGGAAGUGCACUGGAUACGACGGCGCUGGAGUCCUGAAGAGGAGGCGGAAUUCCCGGUGUAGAGGUGAAAUUCGUAGAUAUCGGGAGGAACACCAGUGGCGAAGGCGGCUCUCUGGACAGGUACUGACGCUGAGACGCGAAAGCGUGGGUAGCAAACAGG